Molecule: ribosomal RNA, 497 nt
Filed under: uncultured bacterium
Lineage: Bacteria
Description: partial 16S ribosomal RNA
Rfam family: Bacterial small subunit ribosomal RNA
Source: RNAcentral
GAUGAACGCUGGCGGCGUGCCUAAUACAUGCAAGUCGAGCGAACGGACGAGAAGCUUGCUUCUCUGAUGUUAGCGGCGGACGGGUGAGUAACACGUGGAUAACCUACCUAUAAGACUGGGAUAACUUCGGGAAACCGGAGCUAAUACCGGAUAAUAUUUUGAACCGCAUGGUUCAAAAGUGAAAGACGGUCUUGCUGUCACUUAUAGAUGGAUCCGCGCUGCAUUAGCUAGUUGGUAAGGUAACGGCUUACCAAGGCAACGAUGCAUAGCCGACCUGAGAGGGUGAUCGGCCACACUGGAACUGAGACACGGUCCAGACUCCUACGGGAGGCAGCAGUAGGGAAUCUUCCGCAAUGGGCGAAGGCCUGACGGAGCAACGCCGCGUGAGUGAUGAAGGUCUUCGGAUCGUAAAACUCUGUUAUUAGGGAAGAACAUAUGUGUAAGUAACUGUGCACAUCUUGACGGUACCUAAUCAGAAAGCCACGGCUAACCACGUG